Molecule: ribosomal RNA, 200 nt
Filed under: uncultured bacterium
Lineage: Bacteria
Description: partial 16S ribosomal RNA
Rfam family: Bacterial small subunit ribosomal RNA
Source: RNAcentral
AGAGUUUGAUCCUGGCUCAGGACGAACGCUUGCGGCGUGCCUAAGAAAUGCAAGUCGAGCGGGGGUAGCAAUACCCUAGCGGCGAACGGUCGCGUAACACGUAAGCAACCUGCCCCGAAGACCGGGACAACAUCUCGAAAGGGGUGCUAAUACCGGAUGUGGCCACUUCCUCGCAUGUGGAGGUGAUUAAACCGAGCAAU